This 206-nucleotide long non-coding RNA is filed under the name Elaeis guineensis (African oil palm). RNAcentral's name for it is "long non-coding RNA (EGUI_LNC025846)". Lineage: Eukaryota; Viridiplantae; Streptophyta; Magnoliopsida; Arecales; Arecaceae. The record is from RNAcentral.
GGUUGUAUCUGUUUUUUAUCCAAAACAACAAGGAAGACAAGACAAAUUUGAAAAGAAUGAGCAAACUAGAAAAAUUUGAAUAAUUUAUGGGUCUCAACGAUCAAGAUAUUUAUAUAUCAUUGAAUAUAAUAAAAUUAAAUAUCAUUAAAAUAUUAUAAUAUUAGUUCAAUAUAUUUAAAAUGGUCUUAUUAAAAAUAGUAAAAGUA